UUUUGUAAGGGAAUAAAGUGCACCACGUGUGCUGUUUUGUAUGUACUUUACCAAUAAGGAUCGGCUAACUCCAUGCCAGCGGCCGCGGUAAUACGGAGGAUCCGAGCGUUAUCCGGAUUUAUUGGGUUUAAAGGGUGCGCAGGCGGACCCGUAAGUCAAUGGUGAAAGUUUGCAUCUUAACUGUAAAAUUGCCAUUGAAACUACGGAUCUUGAGUGUAAAUGAGGUAGGCGGAAUGUGUUGUGUAGCGGUGAAAUGCUUAGAUAUAACACAGAACACCAAUUGCGAAGGCAACUUACUGGGAUACAACUGACGCUCAGGCACGAAAGCGUGGGGAUCAAACAGGAUUAGAUACCCUGGUAGUCCACGCAGUAAACGAUGAAUACUAACUGUAUGCGAUAUAUUGUAUGUGGUAAACCGAAAGCGUUAAGUAUUCCACCUGGGGAGUACGUUCGCAAGAAUGAAACUCAAAUGAAUUUGACGG
Molecule: ribosomal RNA, 482 nt
Filed under: uncultured bacterium
Lineage: Bacteria
Description: bacterial SSU rRNA
Rfam family: Bacterial small subunit ribosomal RNA
Source: RNAcentral